AGCGAACGCUGGCGGCAGGCUUAACACAUGCAAGUCGAGCGGGCACUUUCGGGUGUCAGCGGCGGACGGGUGAGUAACGCGUGGGAACGUGCCCUCUGGUUCGGAAUAACUCAGGGAAACUUUAGCUAAUACCGGAUACGCCCUUUUGGGGAAAGGCUUGCUGCCGGAGGAUCGGCCCGCGUCUGAUUAGCUAGUUGGUGAGGUAACGGCUCACCAAGGCGACGAUCAGUAGCUGGUCUGAGAGGAUGAUCAGCCACACUGGGACUGAGACACGGCCCAGACUCCUACGGGAGGCAGCAGUGGGGAAUAUUGGAAAAUGGGCGCAAGACUGAUCCAGCCAUGCCGCGUGAGUGAUGAAGGCCUUAGGGUUGUAAAGCUCUUUUAUCCGGGACGAUAAUGACGGUACCGGAGGAAUAAGCCCCGGCUAACUUCGUG
Molecule: ribosomal RNA, 435 nt
Filed under: uncultured bacterium
Lineage: Bacteria
Description: partial 16S ribosomal RNA
Rfam family: Bacterial small subunit ribosomal RNA
Source: RNAcentral